AUUAGAGUUUGAUCCUGGCUCAGAUUGAACGCUGGCGGCAGGCCUAACACAUGCAAGUCGGCGGAUGAGAAGAGCUUGCUCUUCGAUUCAGCGGCGGACGGGUGAGUAAUACCUAGGAAUCUGCCUGGUAGUGGGGGACAACGUUUCGAAAGGAACGCUAAUACCGCAUACGUCCUACGGGAGAAAGCAGGGGACCUUCGGGCCUUGCGCUAUCAGAUGAGCCUAGGUCGGAUUAGCUAGUUGGUGAGGUAAUGGCUCACCAAGGCUACGAUCCGUAACUGGUCUGAGAGGAUGAUCAGUCACACUGGAACUGAGACACGGUCCAGACUCCUACGGGAGGCAGCAGUGGGGAAUAUUGGACAAUGGGCGAAAGCCUGAUCCAGCCAUGCCGCGUGUGUGAAGAAGGUCUUCGGAUUGUAAAGCACUUUAAGUUGGGAGGAAGGGCAGUAAGCGAAUACCUUGCUGUUUUGACGUUACCGACAGAAUAAGCACCGGCUAACUCUGUGCCAGCAGCCGCGGUAAUACAGAGGGUGCAAGCGUUAAUCGGAAUUACUGGGCGUAAAGCGCGCGUAGGUGGUUCGUUAAGUUGGAUGUGAAAUCCCCGGGCUCAACCUGGGAACUGCAUCCAAAACUGGCGAGCUAGAGUAGGGCAGAGGGUGGUGGAAUUUCCUGUGUAGCGGUGAAAUGCGUAGAUAUAGGAAGGAACACCAGUGGCGAAGGCGACCACCUGGGCUCAUACUGACACUGAGGUGCGAAAGC
Molecule: ribosomal RNA, 759 nt
Filed under: Pseudomonas japonica
Lineage: Bacteria; Pseudomonadati; Pseudomonadota; Gammaproteobacteria; Pseudomonadales; Pseudomonadaceae
Description: bacterial SSU rRNA
Rfam family: Bacterial small subunit ribosomal RNA
Source: RNAcentral